AAAGUCGUAACAAGGUAACCGUAGGUGAACCUGCGGUUGGAUCAUUAAAAAUAAAGGAUGAAGGCGUUUGGGGAACUGCGCUUCUGUCCGGACGUGGCUUCCGAGUGCCAGUAGAGCGAGGUUCAGAAGGGUGCCAGUGGAGCGGCCCAUGGGUGGUGCCGGCAGAGCAAGGCUCUGAAUGGGUGCCAGUGGGAACGUGCCAUGCGUGGUGCCAGGGUGAGCGGGGCUCAGAGCGCCAGAGGAGCCGUGUCCCGGGGAUGCGCGAUUCCACCAAACGGGUUGGUUCUUUCCACCUGUCGUGUUUUUUCUUUUUUUUUUGUUUUUGUUUCUGCAAAAAAAGCAAAAAUAAAACAACUUUUGGCAACGGAUCUCUUGGCUCUC
RNAcentral lists this unclassified non-coding RNA (381 nucleotides) under Chytridiomycota sp. RNAcentral describes it as "partial contains small subunit ribosomal RNA, internal transcribed spacer 1, and 5.8S ribosomal RNA". The stretch from base 1 to 47 matches the Rfam family "Eukaryotic small subunit ribosomal RNA", at positions 1785 to 1831 of the family's 1831-position model. Lineage: Eukaryota; Fungi; Chytridiomycota. The record is from RNAcentral.